CAGUCAGAAAUCCGGAGCAAUAGUAGCAGCAAGGCAUCUCUUGCUGAGGGUGUAGAGGCAUCUGUUAUAUAUGUUCGUUUCAAGGCAGCUGCAAGUGAGGUUCAUGCGGCCAGAAACUGCACAAGGCAUAUUUGUUAACUUCAAAGACUUGUACUAUUACAAUGGGAACAAGCUUCCUUUUGCUGCUGCUCAAAUUGGCCAGGCUUUCAGAAAUGAGAUAUAUGAACUGGGUUGGAACUGGGACAAUUUAGAACUUCUAGCACAGGGCAGAAACUUCAUGUUAUGAUAAAUGGCAGUGUAAGUAACAUCUCAUUCAAUGGAAGUCUUAAAGGCAGUGCUAAUAUAACAAUAAAACUUUUUCUAUAAGCCCUGCUAAUUUAAAAUUGUAUUUGUCCUCUGUUUAUGCUAGUCUACUUAGUUU
Long non-coding RNA from Humulus lupulus (European hop), 421 nucleotides. RefSeq lists it as uncharacterized. The record is from RefSeq and is a predicted model, not a curated record. The transcript is spliced from 3 exons. Lineage: Eukaryota; Viridiplantae; Streptophyta; Magnoliopsida; Rosales; Cannabaceae.